GGGGGUGACUGGUUUCGACGUUGGAUGUCGAACCAGGGGAAGCGGGUCGAGGAUGCGGGGUUAUCUCGUUAACGCCCUCCGCAAACCAUAGGUGCCGAAUCCAAGCGCACCGACUUCGCCCUCGCCGCCUGAGCGAGCCCGAAGUCCGUCAGCCCGGAAGUGCUCCUGAUCCGGUAGCUGGCGCCAUCUAAGGAGCCACUGCUCUACGCCGUCGUCGGUGCGGCGUAGGGGACUCUCAGCCGACUGAGUCCGGCAGCGACGUUGCUCGCGAGAGCGCUGGGACUGAGAAACCAUCACAGCGAGCUGCACCCGGAGAAGCCCUGGGGGAACGACGACGGACGCGGGUUCAAUUCCCGCCACCUCCACUG
Molecule: transfer-messenger RNA, 368 nt
Filed under: Actinomycetales
Lineage: Bacteria; Bacillati; Actinomycetota; Actinomycetes
Also listed under: 1 other name
Description: GCA-002748415 sp002748415 Standard tmRNA
Rfam family: transfer-messenger RNA
About the family: Bacterial tmRNA, also known as 10Sa RNA or SsrA, is named for its dual tRNA and mRNA-like properties. Its role is to liberate the mRNA from a stalled ribosome. To accomplish this part of the tmRNA is used as a reading frame that ends in a translation stop signal.
Source: RNAcentral